This 230-nucleotide ribosomal RNA is filed under the name uncultured bacterium. Its description in RNAcentral is "partial 16S ribosomal RNA". It matches the Rfam family "Bacterial small subunit ribosomal RNA", at positions 562 to 791 of the family's 1533-position model. The record is from RNAcentral.
AAAGGGUCCGUAGGCGGUUUAAUAAGUCAGUGGUGAAAGCCCAUCGCUCAACGGUGGAACGGCCAUUGAUACUGUUAAACUUGAAUUAUUAGGAAGUAACUAGAAUAUGUAGUGUAGCGGUGAAAUGCUUAGAGAUUACAUGGAAUACCAAUUGCGAAGGCAGGUUACUACUAAUGGAUUGACGCUGAUGGACGAAAGCGUGGGGAGCAAACAGGAUUAGAUACCCUUGU